RNAcentral lists this ribosomal RNA (253 nucleotides) under uncultured bacterium. RNAcentral's name for it is "partial 16S ribosomal RNA". It matches the Rfam family "Bacterial small subunit ribosomal RNA", at positions 524 to 776 of the family's 1533-position model. The record is from RNAcentral.
UACGGAGGGUGCAAGCGUUAAUCGGAAUUACUGGGCGUAAAGCGCACGCAGGUGGCUGAGAAAGUCGAUUGUGAAAGCCCUGGGCUUAACCUGGGAAUUGCAGUCGAAACUACUCGGCUAGAGUAUGGGAGAGGACAGUGGAAUUCCCGGUGUAGCGGUGAAAUGCGUAGAUAUCGGGAGGAACAUCAGUGGCGAAGGUGGCUGUCUGGCCCAAUACUGACACUCAGGUGCGACAGCGUGGGGAGCAAACAGG